AUUGAACGCUGGCGGCAGGCUUAACACAUGCAAGUCGAGCGGAGAUGAGGUGCUUGCACCUUAUCUUAGCGGCGGACGGGUGAGUAAUGCUUAGGAAUCUGCCUAUUAGUGGGGGACAACAUUCCGAAAGGAAUGCUAAUACCGCAUACGUCCUACGGGAGAAAGCAGGGGAUCUUCGGACCUUGCGCUAAUAGAUGAGCCUAAGUCGGAUUAGCUAGUUGGUGGGGUAAAGGCCUACCAAGGCGACGAUCUGUAGCGGGUCUGAGAGGAUGAGCCGCCACACUGGGACUGAGACACGGCCCAGACUCCUACAGGAGGCAGCAGUGGGGAAUAUUGGACAAUGGGGGGAACCCUGAUCCAGCCAUGCCGCGUGUGUGAGGAAGGCCUUAUGGUUGUAAAGCACUUUAAGCGAGGAGGAGGCUACUGAGACUAAUACUCUUGGAUAGUGGACGUUACUCGCAGAAUAAGCACCGGCUAACUCUGUGCCAGCAGCCGCAGAA
This 500-nucleotide ribosomal RNA is filed under the name uncultured bacterium. RNAcentral describes it as "partial 16S ribosomal RNA". It matches the Rfam family "Bacterial small subunit ribosomal RNA", at positions 30 to 522 of the family's 1533-position model. The record is from RNAcentral.